UGGGGAAUCAUGGUCAAUGGGCGAAAGCCUGAACCUGCGACGCCGCGUGAGUGAUGAAGGUCGUAAGAUCGUAAAACUCUUUUCAGGGAUCUUAAAGCCUGUCUGUCAACAACAGGCAGGUCUGACUCUCCCUGGAAGAAGCCCCAGCCAACUACGAGCCAGCAGCUGCGGUCAUACGUAGGGGGCGAGCGUUAUUCGGAAUUACUGGGUGUAAAGGGUAUGUAGGCGGCCCUUCAAGUCGCGUGUCAAAGUCCAGUGCUCAACGCUGGUUGUGCACGCGAUACUGACGGGCUUGAGGGCUGGAGAGGUGAGCGGAAUUCCCGGUGUAGUGGUAAAAUACGUAGAGAUCGGGAGGAACACCAGCGGCGCAGGCGGCUCACUAGACAGUUUCUGACGCUAAGAUACGAAAGCGUGGGGACCAAACA
RNAcentral lists this ribosomal RNA (425 nucleotides) under uncultured prokaryote. RNAcentral's name for it is "bacterial SSU rRNA". It matches the Rfam family "Bacterial small subunit ribosomal RNA", at positions 355 to 774 of the family's 1533-position model. The record is from RNAcentral.